Molecule: ribosomal RNA, 305 nt
Filed under: uncultured bacterium
Lineage: Bacteria
Description: bacterial SSU rRNA
Rfam family: Bacterial small subunit ribosomal RNA
Source: RNAcentral
GCCUACGGGGGGCAGCAGUAGGGAAUCUUCCACAAUGGGCGAAAGCCUGAUGGAGCAACGCCGCGUGGGUGAAGAAGGUCUUCGGAUCGUAAAACCCUGUUGUUAGAGAAGAAAGUGCGUGAGAGUAACUGUUCACGUUUCGACGGUAUCUAACCAGAAAGCCACGGCUAACUACGUGCCAGCAGCCGCGGUAAUACGUAGGUGGUAAGCGUUAUCCGGAUUUAUUGGGCGUAAAGGGAACGCAGGCGGUCUUUUAAGUCUGAUGUGAAAGCCUUCGGCUUAACCGGAGUAGUGCAUUUGAAACU